UUUGGCGAUGGUUUCACUUCGAUUGACCUCCUGAAACUGAAAUGGUUCACAUAUCAAGAUCUGGUCAGAUCUGACUUUGUAGAAUUAAACCAGGAGCUUGGGAACGAAUUUUUGAAUGAAACAAAUUGGGGGAUGUUUGGUUUAUACCAUGGUGAUAACCGAGAGAGGCAAUUGCUAAGUUGUGAUACUCUCAUACCUUUACUAGAUGCGAACAAUUCCGGAGAAGAAGAAGAAGUGA
This is a non-coding RNA of Lolium perenne, 238 nucleotides long. The record is from RefSeq and is a predicted model, not a curated record. Lineage: Eukaryota; Viridiplantae; Streptophyta; Magnoliopsida; Poales; Poaceae.